GAUGAACGCUGGCGGCGUGCCUAAUACAUGCAAGUCGAGCGAACGGACGAGAAGCUUGCUUCUCUGAUGUUAGCGGCGGACGGGUGAGUAACACGUGGAUAACCUACCUAUAAGACUGGGAUAACUUCGGGAAACCGGAGCUAAUACCGGAUAAUAUUUUGAACCGCAUGGUUCAAAAGUGAAAGACGGUCUUGCCGUCACUUAUAGAUGGAUCCGCGCUGCAUUAGCUAGUUGGUAAGGUAACGGCUUACCAAGGCAACGAUGCAUAGCCGACCUGAGAGGGUGAUCGGCCACACUGGAACUGAGACACGGUCCAGACUCCUACGGGAGGCAGCAGUAGGGAAUCUUCCGCAAUGGGCGAAAGCCUGACGGAGCAACGCCGCGUGAGUGAUGAAGGUCUUCGGAUCGUAAAACUCUGUUAUUAGGGAAGAACAUAUGUGUAAGUAACUGUGCACAUCUUGACGGUACCUAAUCAGAAAGCCACGGCUAACUACGUG
This 497-nucleotide ribosomal RNA is filed under the name uncultured bacterium. RNAcentral's name for it is "partial 16S ribosomal RNA". It matches the Rfam family "Bacterial small subunit ribosomal RNA", at positions 28 to 507 of the family's 1533-position model. The record is from RNAcentral.